Rhineura floridana is the source of this 1386-nucleotide long non-coding RNA. RefSeq lists it as uncharacterized. The record is from RefSeq and is a predicted model, not a curated record. NCBI's taxonomy places the organism in Eukaryota, Metazoa, Chordata, Lepidosauria, Squamata, Rhineuridae. The transcript has 5 exons.
AAGCGCAGCUAUGUAGGCCCCCAAAGCUUCAGCUUCCGGUAAAGAUGGAAAGCAGCGCUAUCGGGCAGGAAUUUUUCGUCGCUCUAGCUUGUUGGAAUCUCUAUGGUCACCCGUUCCACAGUUCUCUGUGGUCUGAAUUGGAACUCGGGAAGAGCAGCUCCGUCUUGGACUGGGGAGUUCUGCAGUGGUGUCAGCCUUGUAGAGAGAAAGAACGUCCAUUUAACCGUAUGAAUAGCUCACGAGCUGUAGGACUCCAGCUCCCAUCAGCCCCCGCUAGCAGUGCCAGUAGACAGGGAUGAUGGGAAUUGUAGUCUAGCUGAUCGCGGGCGGGCGGUUUCUCCGACGUAGACGAUCUGUAGCUCUCCUCCCCCAGCACAGCUGCGAUUGGCAACAAGGCUGCUGCCGAGAGCCAAUGAGGGAAGAGAAUGAGGCAGAGCGGGCCCGCCGCGUUUCAGGCCAACGGGCAGCAGCGGGCCGGAGGACGAAAAGUCGCUCAUUGGUUUAUGCCUAAGGAGAGAUGUGGCUGCAACAAGCAGAGGAAUGAGGAGUUACUUGGAGGAAGCAGGGGAAGUCUGCUCCUGUGGUUGGUGGGUAACAGACAUGUGACUCACACUGGCCUUCUGCUGAGCUUGCUCUGUGUGUGGAAGCAAGAGAGAGAGUGAGAGAGAGAAAAUGGCUGAAAAUGGAGGGAGAAAGCAGCAGCAGAUGGGAGCUGCUGCAGACCCGGCUUUUUUUCCUGCCACAAACUACUUAAAUUCCCGGCAGAUAUGGCUCUCACUCGACAAGCAGGUCUCCUUCUGUCUGUGUGAAGAGAUGCCACAACUGAACAAAUUGAAAUGAAUGCGCUCCUCCUGGCUGUUCCCCACAAAACUACAAAUCCCAGGGUUCCAUGGAAGAGGGAAUGACCGCUAAAUGUAUCUGCAGUGCGAGACACCACAUGUUUGGAGCUUCCUUCAUCUCACCUUGCUUCACACCCUGGUUGGACCCUGCCUUGCUAUGCCAUAGAGCUGGACAGUUUGCUCCACCCACUUAUGCAGGGUGGAGGCCCUGACAUUCCAGAUCAUUUGUCCACACCAGCGGAACUGCACUAUCUGGAUCAGAAGUCAAACCUGUUGGGACUGCUGCAGAAGCCCUGGCUUAAACCCUGAUCUUGUUUUUGAAAUAGUUUAAACCCUGGUUUAUACUCUCACCUUGUUUUCCCCGCAACCAGUACCAUCGCGAACCAAGAAUGGGUCCUUCACUCCUGGCCCCUUCAUGUAGUCCAAAGUGACACACAAGCGAUUCUGCACCCUUGCGUAAAUUAUUGCUGCGUUUUCUAUAAUAAAAGGCUUUUUACUUGGAUAUUCACACACCAACUUGCCACACUUGAGGUCCCUGCAAGUAAGC